UUACCACUUUGUGAUUCAUGACUCGGGUGAAGUCGUAACAAGGUAACCGUAGGGGAACCUGCGGUUGGAUCACCUCCUUA
This 80-nucleotide ribosomal RNA is filed under the name Klebsiella pneumoniae. RNAcentral describes it as "partial 16S ribosomal RNA". It matches the Rfam family "Bacterial small subunit ribosomal RNA", at positions 1454 to 1533 of the family's 1533-position model. Lineage: Bacteria; Pseudomonadati; Pseudomonadota; Gammaproteobacteria; Enterobacterales; Enterobacteriaceae. The record is from RNAcentral.